Molecule: ribosomal RNA, 508 nt
Filed under: Cymatodera latefascia
Lineage: Eukaryota; Metazoa; Arthropoda; Insecta; Coleoptera; Cleridae
Description: partial 16S ribosomal RNA
Rfam family: Archaeal large subunit ribosomal RNA
Source: RNAcentral
CCUUUAGAAAUUAAUUUAAGGUCUAAUCUGCCCACUGAUGAAUUGAAUGGCCGCGGUAUUUUGACCGUGCGAAGGUAGCAUAAUCAUUAGUUUUUUAAUUGAAAGCUGGAAUGAAAGAUUGGAUGAGAAAAUAACUGUCUCAAAUUAAUUUUGUUAGAAUUUUAUUUUUAAGCUAAAAAGCUUAAAUAGUUUUAGAAGACGAGAAGACCCUAUAGAGUUUAAUAAUUUUUUAUUUUAAGAUUUAAUUGUUUUGAAAGAUUUAAAAUUUAAAAAAUUAUUUUGUUGGGGUGACAGAAAAAUUUAAUAAACUUUUUCUAAAUAUUAAUACUUAUAAGUAAAUUAUUGAUCCAAAAAUUUUGAUUAUAAGAUUAAAUUACCUUAGGGAUAACAGCGUAAUUUUUUUUGAGAGUUCUAAUCGAAAAAGAAGAUUGCGACCUCGAUGUUGGAUUUAAAAUUAAGUUUUGGUGUAGAAGCUAAAAUUUUAGGUCUGUUCGACCUUUAAAACUUU